ACUUGAAGCACUUUCUUCACAGCAGCUAAUCAUCCUUUUCUAUAAGCUUCUUGUUUCGCUAAGUAAUUAACUAUGAAGAGAAGCUUUGCUUCUCCACCUUCUUCUCCCCCAACUCCUCCUUCUCCUCUUCCCAUCAGUGUCGGCCCAGGGCAUCAAAAGUAUAACUUCACUCCGUCGCCAUCACCUUCGCCUCCCUUCUCACCUCCUUCAAGCCGGACAUCUUCGGAGAUCAACCCUCUCUUAUGGAAGGAUUCACCAAGACGACCAAGGGUUCCAUCAACAUUUUCACUUGAUCGAGUUACCGACGACUUGGGUUCACAACGUUCAUGCCUAAAGGACUUGUUGGAAUGGUUCUUCCUACGGUGUUGCAGUUGUUGCUCUUGGUCUCUUUGAAGCCAAGUA
This is a long non-coding RNA of Telopea speciosissima, 402 nucleotides long. RefSeq lists it as uncharacterized. The record is from RefSeq and is a predicted model, not a curated record. Lineage: Eukaryota; Viridiplantae; Streptophyta; Magnoliopsida; Proteales; Proteaceae. The transcript has 2 exons.